This 88-nucleotide ribosomal RNA is filed under the name Allomuricauda sp. Lineage: Bacteria; Pseudomonadati; Bacteroidota; Flavobacteriia; Flavobacteriales; Flavobacteriaceae. The record is from RNAcentral.
CACCCCUUCCCAUACCGAACAGGACGGUUAAGCCCGCCAGCGCCGAUGGUACUGCCACACCAGGUGGGAGAGUAGGUCGCCGCCUUCC